UUGUGUUUAUGAAUGUUAUUAUUUAUUAUUGUAUCGCAGUAUCAACGUGAUAUAUCAAUGAAUUGGUUAAAACAUGCCUUCACUUUGUAAAAAAAUACAAACGUGAGAAAAUUAUUCAUAAUUGUUGCAUAAAAAUAGCAUAGUCUUAAAUUCUGCAAAUGCCCAGAACCAAGCGUCUUCGAUAAUCUACCAACAGAAGUUUUGCCAUCUUAUCGUCCUUCGCCUCUGGACAAACUUGGCUUCUGUUUCAAGUGCUGCUGGGUGGUGCCAUUACGACUUGCCGCUAUCAUCAUUUGCUUUAUAUUGUUGGUUUGUACACAGAUGUGGAGUAUUUUGCAAGUAGUGGGUGUGGAAAAGACAACUGCGUCUCUCAUAACUGACGAAGAUAGCAAUGUGUUUUAUUUUAUUAAAAUAACACUUGUGUGGCUCGCUACUGUGUUUAUAAUGGCGUGUGGAGUCUUACUUGUUGGUAUAAUUCUCUCAAAUCACAAACUUGUCAAUGUCUUCAUGUGGUACACUGUAAUAUAUACUAUGCUACAAUGUGUGUUGUCUCUUACUGCAUUUGGCCUUCACGUUAUGCGAACUGGAAAGACAUCGGGAAGACUUGUUGUGCGGUUGGUACUUAGCAUUCUGUGGAAUUGUUUGAUAUUUUAUUUCCUGAAAGUUAUAAACAGUUACAAGAUGUUGAUUUGGAUGCCGUAACAUAAAACAGACUUGGUGUAAUUAUAUUAUGGGACCCGGCCUUUCUUCGUCCUGGUGUCAGCGAAACCAUUACGAUAACUCAUUUUAUUUUUUAAUGGCAAUUAUAUUUAUGUUUUACAUAGAAAAUACUCCUGCUUCGGUGUUUUCUUUUUAGUAGGUUUUUUAACUUGUAUGAUUAAUACUAUGAUUUAUUUUCCUACUCAACAUCCUGCAUAUUUAUUGAUUAUGAGAAUUGUAUAAUCUACAGAUAAUGUCAAUAUAAUUUGAAGCUUCAAUAGGUCCUAGAAGUGAAAGGCUUACUUUUAGU
Pieris brassicae (large cabbage white) is the source of this 1009-nucleotide long non-coding RNA. RefSeq lists it as uncharacterized. The transcript has 5 exons. NCBI's taxonomy places the organism in Eukaryota, Metazoa, Arthropoda, Insecta, Lepidoptera, Pieridae. The record is from RefSeq and is a predicted model, not a curated record.